UUGUUCUAUUAUUGUUUAAAAGUGAAGGAACGUCUCCUGGUCCAACAUUCGACUCAACAACCCCACGACGACAAUGAGAACGACGAAGAAUGUUACAUUCUUUCUUGGAACUGAAUAAUGGUUCACUGGUGCUACAUGCUUUACUCCACAUUUCCAACUACAGAAAAGCUUAAAGUUAGAACGAAGAGGUUAAAGAGUCAAAAUAGCUUCUGCUCAUACUUCGCUUUGUGUUUUACGUUUGGUGUGAUUCACCUUAUCAUGGCAGAUUUACUCACAAGAAUUUCAGAUCAGCUAUCUCCGAGUCAGGUAGCACUGAUGAUCGACCAGAAAAGUCGUUCGGAAGUUGUUAUAAACAGGAGGAGCAAUGCCUUUAAGAAGGUCGUAGACGAGUUCCAUGAAAUGAAGAAGAAUUCCGAACGGGAUAAUGAGAGGGCAAAACAUCUUGAGCUUGACGUAACAAGAGUGUACGCUCAGUUAUCAAGAACGAGGGACUCUCUGACGAAAGAGCAGAGAAAAAAUGCAGAGUUGCUGGGAAAAAUGGAGAAAGGUCAUGUUAUUUGUGAGAAGUGUCUUGGGGAUGCAAAUGAAGAGGAUGAGAGAUAUUCGUCUGGAGAGGGCGGAGAAGCAAUGAGAGGAUUUAAGAAGGCUCAGAGACGGUUACCGCAGUCUGAUGUUUCAACUCAGAAGAAGGAGGCAAUAUCAUCCAUGAUGAACCAAGAUAAAAGUCAAACACAGCAAGGAACUGAGGGCAAAAGAACAGGUGGCGUCCCGCACGAAGAACAUGAACUUCUGAUUCGAGAAGCAGUGUUUUACAAAGAGCAGCUAACGCUUCUGGCCAAGGAGAAAUCGAUGAGUGUGGACACAAUUUUGGAGACAGCAGAGUAUAACCAAAUCAUCAAGAAUUUACAAAAAGACGUCCAGGAGAAAGUUGAUCAGAAUGAAGUACUUGUUGAGAGAAUAAAAGAGCUUUGCUCUCAGGACUCAGAGGAAGGAAGUCGAGUCACCGAGCUUCAGUUUCAGAAAGAUAAACUUCAGAAGAGGCUCAACCUUGGUCAAGUCAUGAUUGACACGCUGUCCAAACGCUGUGAGGAGCUGGAAGCCCAAGUCAAGUUGGCGCAGAAACCAAACUUCGAUACAACCGAUGGCUCUAAAGUCUCUGGUCUCAUGGAAGAUACAAAAAAACAAAAUGGCAGCAAAAGCCCCGUCAAGACUGAAGAUCAGAUUAGCAGCCAAUUUCUCUCCAAUGAGCGUAAGAAACACCGACAGCAAGUCCAGCGUCUGGAGGAGGAACUUCAACUCUACUCCAUUCAGAUGGAUCAAGUCAUGGUCGAGAACAAACAGCUGUUUAAGGAUCGCCAAGCAACGGAGAGGCAGAGAGAGAUUUUUGAGGAUCGCUACAACAAGCUUAUGGAGACCUUGCAGGCUGUUCAGCAACGGCAGCACCAGUGUUCUAACUGUCGCACCCUGGAACAGGAGCUAGCGAAGGUCAAAGUUGAGUUUGCUGACCUUAAAGAGGUCAAUGAACUUGUCUCUGCUCAGAUGAAGUUCUUCGAGGAAGAUCUGAGACAAGAACAGUUAGACAUGGAGAAUCUCAAGUUGAAGAACACUUUCCACAUUGAGCAGUGGAAGAGGAAUUGCCAGAAAAUGGGGCAACAGGUUGAUUUGUUGAUGGGAGACCUCCAGAGAGAGCGCGAGUUGAGACAGAGACUUCAACAACAGAUGAACCAAGCCAAGCCACGCCACCAGGUGCCUAUGGCUGCUAGCCUUGGCGCUGCUGGCACCCCACCGCCAAGAGCCUGUUCCGUUAGUGUACCAUGGUUCGGGUCACCCCAACAGCCUCUCCCGGCCUUUGUCGAAGUGGACUGCAUCGACGGAGACAAUGAAUCACCAUCGAAUGGUGCGACAUCGAAUGGUGCGGGUGCUUCAUCGUCCUCAAAGAGCUUAUCGCAAGACAAGGUACAAGAGUGCCCUCGAUGCAAACGUGAGUUUUCAGCGGACAAGACGAAGCAGUACCGAGACCAUGUAGGAAAAUGCUUUGACAGUUCCUGAAAGUGAAAGCUUUACCCAUCGGGAUCUGGAAGGGUUGUUGGUCUAAGGGAUUUCUGUUUCACGGAGGAAAUUGUUGGGUCUCUAGGAUAGGGAGGUAGUGAGGGAAAAGAUGGAGCGAAAGAAGAAAAAGAAAAUAACCCCCAGUUUAUAAUCCGGAGACGUUUUAAUAAUGUCAAAUAAAUUACUUGGUCAUUAAAUCUUUUAUUUAACCAGUCACUUAGACAUGUUACAUGUAUACCCAAAGAUUACAUUUACCUUGGUGUGCAUGUAUCGUAUAAUCACUAUACACAUAUGAUAUUGUCAAAUAGUAAAAUACUCACUAAGGGUUUUACUCAGGGUUUUGUUACUUGGGAUUACAAUGAGUACUUGAAAUCAGUCUACGGUAACCAGGAUUCCUGGAUAGAGAAAAGCAAUCAUGGUUCAAUAUCUGGAUAAUUUACAAAUUAAAUGUUGAAUAGGCAGCUAUGCCAUGUGAAAUAUUUGGGGCGAAUUUUCUUUUACCAAAAAGAAAAACUGAAGUUAGGGGGAAGUUACAGAAGCCAUUUAUUUAGCCCCAUUGUGUAGAAGGAGUAAGUGAAUGCGACACAUCAACAGCGGGAAUAAUUGUCCACAGAUAAAAUAUAAAGAUUUCAUGAUUGUUUUCGUUAGCUCAGGAUAUACCAACAGGAGGCUGAGCUAUAAGCUCAAACAAAUGAGGAAGCGCAAAGUACGAUGUACUGAAAGCGCACUAAGUGGAUAGCCGAGUACGGGACAUGGGUCUAUGCAACUGCCUUAUAACUACUGAAAGGGUUUAGAAGAUGUCAGGUCUGGAUUUUCACGAAGGCCAUGGAAGCCAUGGCCUUAAAGGCCAUGGCCUCCGUUGCUCUUGUCUUGGCCUUGGUGCCCCUUCAAAGUUUCCCAUAGACUUUAAGAUGGAAGUGCCCUUUUAAAAAAUAAAAAUAGCCUUGCCCCUCCAAGAUGAAAUUCCAGGCCUGAAGCGUUGUCCAGAAAGCAGGUAGAAGAUUUCGCUCUGGAAAUAAUGAGGAAGUGACGUUGUUGUAGAUGAUACUCUCUUUACCCAGAAAUGUUUGACUUUCGGGGAAUUACAUACAUGUAAGGGAGAUGAAAGUAACUGGUUUCAGUUUUGUACAAAGUUUGUAAAGGGGGGGGGGGGCAUUGUGUGGCGUGAUUUGCCGGAAUACCGACGGUGUUUUGUACAUGUAGUUGAAGUGUAAGGACCAAAUAAACGUUAGGUUCGGAUCUUGUAUAGAUGGACAAAUAUUUGGGUGGAAAUAAAUGAUGUGAGAAGCUAAUUAUGAUUGGUGUCUGCAUCAUUUUGCUAUGGCCCUUUUCUAAACCACAUCUUCGACUUUGGACUCAGCUUAUGAGGCUCCAUUCUCUCCCAUGAAGCCCUGAGCGAGUAUGUAUAUAUACGCACAAUUGUAAAAUCAAUCAGCGAGGCAAUGCUAGCCUUGAGCCGAAUCCAAGCCGAAGCUGUCGAAAAGGGCCUAUGAUUCUAUGGCUUGACAUUUGAGUUGAUUGGCAACUGAAAAUGAUCUUAGCUAGUCCAAUCAGAAGCCAGUAUCGAUGAUGAGGGUUUUGGCUAGUCCAAUCAGAUAACAGUAUUGAUGAUGAGGAUCGUGGCUAGUCCAAUCAGAAGACAGUAUUGAUGAUGAUGUUUGUGGCUAGUCUAAUCAGAUGUCGGUAUCGCUGAUGAGGUUUGUGGCUAGUCCAAUCAGAUGAAGGUAUUGAUGAUGAUGUGCAUGGCUAGUCCAAUGAGAUGAUAGUAUUAAUUGUAAGGUCAGUGGCUUGUCCAAUGAGAUGAUAGUAUUAAUUGUAAGGUUCAUGGCUAGUCCAAUCAGAUGACGGUUUUGAUGAUGAGGUUCAUGGCUAGUCCAAUCAGAUGACGGUGUUGAUGAUGAGGUUCAUGGCUAGUCCAAUCAGAUGACGGUGUUGAUGAUGAGGUUCACGGCUAGUCAAAUCAGAUCAGUAUUGAUGUUAGGUUCAUGGCUAGUCCAAUCAGAUGACGGUAUUGAUGAUGAUGUUCAUGGCUAGUCCAAUCAGAUUAUAGUAUUGAAGAAGUUUUUCUGUUUUGUCCAAUGGGGCCCAAUUUCAUGGCUCUGCUUACCGCCAAAUUCUGCGCUCACAAUCGUCUAUCUCCGCCUACUGUAAAACCCGUGUAAGCAAAGAGAUAUACCUAAGUAACAUUGAGUACGCACUGGAACUAGGAAAAGUUUCUUGCUACCCAGGAAUUAGGCUUGACGUAACCGUGCUUCCGUAAGCACAGAUUAUUUGCUUAUAAGCAUCGCCAAGAAAUUGGGCUUAGAUGACAUUGCAAUGUUGCAAAGAAAAAGGAAAAACCCCAAUUUGUUUUUGGUUUCAGUUUUUGAUGUUUUUAUUUUUUAUUAUUAUAGAUAGAUGAGAAAGUUGAUACUUUCCUGGUUAACUGUUUCAAGUAAUAGGGUAUUACCACCCGAAAAGGAAAUGUAGACCUAGGGUCUAAUUGAAAGUUGUUUAUCGAGGAAGUACAUGUACAUGUACAAAUGUACAUCCAUUAGAUGUAAACUUGCAUAAGGUUAUAAGGAAUAAGGGUAUAAGGGUAAAAACCAAACAUUAAUAUACAUGUACAUUCAUUACAUAGAGUAGUUACAGUUCAGUAGUUAGUAGUACCAUGUAUAGAUUGGUAAUUAUAAUGUGUUAAUCUCAGUUAAUGACUGAUUUCUUCAAAGAUUGAAUUGGUGCACAUCCACAAUCAUGGUUACAACUUUUGUUUAUACAAAGACACCACAUGAACAACCCAUAUCUAUUGAACAACUCUUUGGAGGUCUUGUAUUUGACAAGACUUUUUAAACAUCGACGCAGAGAGUGUUAAUUGAAACGACAUUGAGAUUUAAACUAAAUGCAUCAUUGGUUUUCAAACAGUUGUAGACCCAUGAGUGUGGUGUGCGUAUUAUUGUGUAAUAUAGUUGCAUUAUCUGUAGUUCAUAGUUGCAUUUCUGUUAGUAGUUGCAUUUAUGUAGUUGUAUUUCUGUAUUGUAGUUGCAUGCAGUUUUUAGUGGCAUGUACGUAUAAUUAGUAGUUGCAUGAACAUUGUACAUUAUACAUAAUAGUAGAUAUAAUGUGUCAAUCUCAGUAAUAGACUGAUUUCUUCGAAGGUGUGGUAUGUCCAUAGACCUAUCUCUAUGGUUAUGUUGUUGUUCUUUGGUUUGCAGUAACUGUUAAAACACCAUGUGUGUAUCUACUUGCCAUGGUAGCGUUUGUUCUUACAUGAAUUCUGUCUUUCUUUAUUCUACUAUCGCGGUAGAUUGUUUGGGUGGUCGGGUAUUCAUCCAGGAGACUUCUCAGUUCUGAGAAGAAAUGUCCUGCUUUUUAACUAUUACCUGGGAGAAUGGUAUAGAAAAUAGGCUGGGGGUACUUUAGCUUACUACAGCGGAGUCAGUUCCUAAAGUUGUCUCAACGUUUCGAUUAGCUUGCUCUAGUCAUCGUCAGUCACAUGGUGUUACCGCAAACCAAACAUAAUGUACCUCACCGUGCAAUACCUCAAAUCCUAUUAUAUUUUGUUGUGGUUGCUUUUUUUGUUGUUAGUUGGCUAGUUACAAUGUUCUCAGUAUACUUUUCCUAGAACAGUUCAGUGUUUUUAAAUAUGAUCUUUGAUUCAUUUCUUUUUGCCUUGGAAUAUCUUCUGGUUUGGUCUACAUUGUAAAUACUUUUAGACUUUUUCAGAGCAAAAACUUUUUCAGUCAAGUUUUUCAAAAUCAUUUGAAAUUAUUACUCAGGCAGUUUCACUUGUGGUUAUAUUAUUUUAAAUUUUAAUAAAUAUUUCGUAGUUCAAGGGAAGGUACACGUUUGGUAAUUACUCAAACAAAUA
Molecule: RNA transcript, 5896 nt
Organism: Asterias rubens (European starfish)
Lineage: Eukaryota; Metazoa; Echinodermata; Asteroidea; Forcipulatida; Asteriidae
Gene name: myosin-J heavy chain-like
Exons: 10
Source: RefSeq, a predicted model, not a curated record